Molecule: ribosomal RNA, 466 nt
Filed under: uncultured bacterium
Lineage: Bacteria
Description: partial 16S ribosomal RNA
Rfam family: Bacterial small subunit ribosomal RNA
Source: RNAcentral
GACGAACGCUGGCGGCGUGCUUAACACAUGCAAGUCGAACGGAAAGGCCCUGCUUGCAGGGUACUCGAGUGGCGAACGGGUGAGUAACACGUGGGUGAUCUGCCCUGCACUUCGGGAUAAGCUUGGGAAACUGGGUCUAAUACCGGAUAGGACCGCACUUUAGUGUGUGUGGUGGAAAGUUUUUUCGGUGUAGGAUGAGCUCGCGGCCUAUCAGCUUGUUGGUGGGGUAAUGGCCUACCAAGGCGGCGACGGGUAGCCGGCCUGAGAGGGUGUACGGCCACAUUGGGACUGAGAUACGGCCCAGACUCCUACGGGAGGCAGCAGUGGGGAAUAUUGCACAAUGGGCGCAAGCCUGAUGCAGCGACGCCGCGUGGGGGAUGAAGGCCUUCGGGUUGUAAACUCCUUUCGCUAGGGACGAAGCGUUGUUGUGACGGUACCUAGAUAAGAAGCACCGGCUAACUACGUG